Molecule: ribosomal RNA, 252 nt
Filed under: uncultured bacterium
Lineage: Bacteria
Description: partial 16S ribosomal RNA
Rfam family: Bacterial small subunit ribosomal RNA
Source: RNAcentral
CGGGGUGAGUAACGCGUGGGUAACCUGCCUCAUACAGGGGGAUAACAGUUAGAAAUGACUGCUAAUACCGCAUAAGCGCACAAAACCGCAUGGUUUGGUGUGAAAAACUGAGGUGGUAUGAGAUGGACCUGCGUCUGAUUAGCUAGUUGGAGAGGUAACGGCUCACCAAGGCAACGAUCAGUAGCCGACCUGAGAGGGUGACCGGCCACAUUGGGACUGAGACACGGCCCAAACUCCUACGGAAGGCAGCAG